CUACAGACCUGGAUGUGAACAGCAGAGGGUCUAUGUUUGCUGAUGCUACAGAUGAGCAAGACCAGAAGCUAGAAAUGGGGGAGAACGGAAUGGAGAGUGUU
Molecule: long non-coding RNA, 101 nt
Organism: Sapajus apella (tufted capuchin)
Lineage: Eukaryota; Metazoa; Chordata; Mammalia; Primates; Cebidae
Exons: 3
Source: RefSeq, a predicted model, not a curated record